RNAcentral lists this ribosomal RNA (1167 nucleotides) under Triticum aestivum (bread wheat). RNAcentral describes it as "partial small subunit ribosomal RNA". Lineage: Eukaryota; Viridiplantae; Streptophyta; Magnoliopsida; Poales; Poaceae. The record is from RNAcentral.
AUGGCGGCGGCGGGCGGCGAGGCCGCGGCGGCGGCGCUGGCGGCGGCGAAGAAGCGGGCGGCGUCGCGGAGCUGGAUCCUGUUCGACGCGGCGGGGGAGGAGCGGGAGCUCGACGCCGACAAGUACGCCAUCAUGCACCGCGUCGACAUCAACGCGCGCGACCUGCGCAUCCUCGACCCGCUGCUCUCCUACCCCUCCACCAUCCUCGGNNNNNNNNNNNNNNNNNNNNNNGUGGAUCAGCACAUAAAGGCGAUCGUUACAUCUGAAGAGGUUUUGCUCAGGGAUCCUUCAGAUGAAAAUGUCAUUCCUGUUGUAGAGGAGCUCCGGAGACGACUAGCACCUUCAAGUGCUGCUCAGCAUGAUGGAAAGGAUAAUUUAAGUGGCCAGCAUGAUGCGGAAGCUGCUGAAGAAGAUGAAUCUCCCUUUGAGUUCCGUGCACUUGAGGUUACUUUGGAAGCAAUCUGCAGCUUUCUUGAUGCACGCACUACUGAGCUGGAGACUAAUGCUUACCCAGCUUUGGAUGACCUGACAUCCAAGAUUAGUAGCCACAACUUGGACAAGGUACGGAAGUUAAAAAGUGGCAUGACGAGAUUGACUGCAAGGGUCCAGAAGGUGAGAGAUGAGCUUGAACAAUUAUUGGAUGAUGACGAUGACAUGGCUGAUCUUUACUUGUCUAGAAAGUUGGCUGGGGCAUCAUCCCCUGUCAGUGGUUCCGGUGGACCAAAUUGGUUCCCAGCAUCCCCAACUAUUGGUUCAAAAAUAUCAAGAGCUAGUAGAGCCAGUGCAGCAACUAUACAUGGAAAUGAGAAUGAUGUGGAAGAGCUGGAGAUGUUGCUGGAGGCAUAUUUCAUGCAGAUAGAUGGCACAUUAAACAAAUUGACAACGCUGAGAGAGUAUAUUGAUGACACAGAAGAUUAUAUUAACAUUCAGCUUGAUAAUCACCGUAAUCAGUUGAUUCAGCUAGAGCUAUUCUUGAGUUCUGGGACCGUCUGCUUAUCACUUUACUCAUUGGUUGCUGGAGUCUUUGGUAUGAACAUACCUUACACCUGGAACGACGGCCAUGGAUAUGUCUUCAAAUGGGUGGUUAUUGUAUCAGGGCUGUUUUGUGCUUUCAUGUUUGUCACGAUUGUCGCUUAUGCUCGGCACAAGGGUCUUGUUGGGUCCUGA